GCGGGAAUAGCUUAGUUGGUUAGAGCACUCGGCUGAUAACCGAGAGGUCAAUGGUUCAAAUCCAUUUUCUCGCACCA
Molecule: transfer RNA, 77 nt
Filed under: Bacteriophage sp.
Description: tRNA-Ile
Rfam family: tRNA
About the family: Transfer RNA (tRNA) molecules are approximately 80 nucleotides in length. Their secondary structure includes four short double-helical elements and three loops (D, anti-codon, and T loops).
Source: RNAcentral